RNAcentral lists this ribosomal RNA (418 nucleotides) under uncultured bacterium. Its description in RNAcentral is "partial 16S ribosomal RNA". It matches the Rfam family "Bacterial small subunit ribosomal RNA", at positions 356 to 769 of the family's 1533-position model. The record is from RNAcentral.
UGGGGAAUUUGGACAAUGGGCGAAGCCUGAUCCAGCAAUGCCGCGUGUGUGAAGAAGGCCUUCGGGUUGUAAAGCACUUUUGUCCGGAAAGAAAUCCUUGGCCUAAUACAGUCGGGGGAUGACGGUACCGGAAGAAUAAGCACCGGCUAACUACGUGCCAGCAGCCGCGGUAAUACGUAGGGUGCAAGCGUUAAUCGGAAUUACUGGGCGUAAAGCGUGCGCAGGCGGUUGCUAAGACCGAUGUGAAAUCCCCGGGCUCAACCUGGGAACUGCAUUGGUGACUGGCAGGCUAGAGUAUGGCAGAGGGGGGUAGAAUUCCACGUGUAGCAGUGAAAUGCGUAGAGAUGUGGAGGAAUACCGAUGGCGAAGGCAGCCCCCUGGGCCAAUACUGACGCUCAUGCACGAAAGCGUGGGGAGC